GAUGAACGCUGGCGGCGUGCCUAAUACAUGCCAGUCGAGCGAACGGACGAGAAGCUUGCUUCUCUGAUGUUAGCGGCGGACGGGUGAGUAACACGUGGAUAACCUACCUAUAAGACUGGGAUAACUUCGGGAAACCGGAGCUAAUACCGGAUAAUAUUUUGAACCGCAUGGUUCAAAAGUGAAAGACGGUCUUGCUGUCACUUAUAGAUGGAUCCGCGCUGCAUUAGCUAGUUGGUAAGGUAACGGCUUACCAAGGCAACGAUGCAUAGCCGACCUGAGAGGGUGAUCGGCCACACUGGAACUGAGACACGGUCCAGACUCCUACGGGAGGCAGCAGUAGGGAAUCUUCCGCAAUGGGCGAAAGCCUGACGGAGCAACGCCGCGUGAGUGAUGAAGGUCUUCGGAUCGUAAACUCUGUUAUUAGGGAAGAACAUAUGUGUAAGUAACUGUGCACAUCUUGACGGUACCUAAUCAGAAAGCCACGGCUAACUACGUG
This 496-nucleotide ribosomal RNA is filed under the name uncultured bacterium. RNAcentral's name for it is "partial 16S ribosomal RNA". It matches the Rfam family "Bacterial small subunit ribosomal RNA", at positions 28 to 507 of the family's 1533-position model. The record is from RNAcentral.